This 254-nucleotide ribosomal RNA is filed under the name uncultured bacterium. RNAcentral's name for it is "partial 16S ribosomal RNA". It matches the Rfam family "Bacterial small subunit ribosomal RNA", at positions 524 to 776 of the family's 1533-position model. The record is from RNAcentral.
UACGUAGGGGGCAAGCGUUGUCCGGAUUUAUUGGGCGUAAAGAGCUCGUAGGCGGUUGGGCAAGUCACGUGUGAAAUCUCCACGCUCAACGUGGAGGCGCCACGUGAGACUGCCCUGACUCGAGUCCGGUAGGGGAGCGUGGAAUUCCCGGUGUAGCGGUGAAAUGCGCAGAGAUCGGGAGGAACACCAAUAGCGAAGGCAGCUCGCUGGGACGGUAUUGACGCUAAGGCGCGAAAGCGUGGGGAGCAAACAGG